Molecule: ribosomal RNA, 294 nt
Filed under: Manihot esculenta (cassava)
Lineage: Eukaryota; Viridiplantae; Streptophyta; Magnoliopsida; Malpighiales; Euphorbiaceae
Description: Eukaryotic large subunit ribosomal RNA
Rfam family: Eukaryotic large subunit ribosomal RNA
Source: Rfam by way of RNAcentral
AAAAGUUCCAUGUGAACUGCACUUGUACAUGGGUCAAAAGGGAAUUGGGUUAAAAUUCUCAAAUGGAGACGUGGCAGCUGACACGACAUUAGGGAGUCCGAAAGCGUCGGUGGGACCUCGAGAGUUAUCUUUUCUAUUAAAUAGCAUGUUCACUCUAGAAACAACUCAGUCAGAGGUAGAGUCUAACGGCUAGAAGAGCACCACAUGUUGCGCAGUGUUUAGUGCGCCACCAAUGGCCCAUGAAAACCCGGAGGAUUAAAUACCUCCUACGUUCGGUCGUAUUCGAAACAAUGU